AGUGAACGCUGGCGGUAGGCCUAACACAUGCAAGUCGAACGGCAGCACAGUAAGAGCUUGCUCUUACGGGUGGCGAGUGGCGGACGGGUGAGGAAUACAUCGGAAUCUACUUUUUCGUGGGGGAUAACGUAGGGAAACUUACGCUAAUACCGCAUACGACCUACGGGUGAAAGCAGGGGAUCUUCGGACCUUGCGCGAUUGAAUGAGCCGAUGUCGGAUUAGCUAGUUGGCGGGGUAAAGGCCCACCCAGGCGACGAUCCGUAGCUGGUCUGAGAGGAUGGUCAGCCACACGGGAACGGGGACACGGUCCAGACUCCUACGGGAGGCAGCAGUGGGGAAUAUUGGACAAUGGGCGCAAGCCUGAUCCAGCCAUACCGCGUGGGUGAAGAAGGCCUUCGGGUUGUAAAGCCCUUUUGUUGGGAAAGAAAAGCAGCAGGUUAAUACCCCGCUGUUCUGACGGUACCCAAAGAAUAAGCACCGGCUAACUUCGUG
RNAcentral lists this ribosomal RNA (492 nucleotides) under uncultured bacterium. RNAcentral describes it as "partial 16S ribosomal RNA". It matches the Rfam family "Bacterial small subunit ribosomal RNA", at positions 29 to 507 of the family's 1533-position model. The record is from RNAcentral.